GAUGAACGCUGGCGGCGUGCUUAAGACAUGCAAGUCGAACGGAGUGUGUAGCAAUACUCACUAAGUGGCGAAUGGGUGAGUAACACGUAGGUGACCUGCCCUGAAGUGCGGAAUAACAGUCCGAAAGGAUUGCUAAUACCGCAUGUGGUCCCGGGCGUUAGAGAACCGGGUCUAAAGCAGUAAUGCGCUUCAGGAGGGGCCUGCGGUCCAUCAGCUAGUUGGAGGGUAAUGGCCUACCAAGGCAACGACGGAUAGGGGACCUGAGAGGGUGGCCCCCACCAUGUCGACU
RNAcentral lists this ribosomal RNA (289 nucleotides) under uncultured bacterium. RNAcentral describes it as "partial 16S ribosomal RNA". It matches the Rfam family "Bacterial small subunit ribosomal RNA", at positions 28 to 320 of the family's 1533-position model. The record is from RNAcentral.